GACGAACGCUGGCGGCGUGCUUAACACAUGCAAGUCGAACGGAAAGGCCCUGCUUUUGUGGGGUGCUCGAGUGGCGAACGGGUGAGUAACACGUGAGUAACCUGCCCUUGACUUUGGGAUAACUUCAGGAAACUGGGGCUAAUACCGGAUAGGAGCUCCUGCUGCAUGGUGGGGGUUGGAAAGUUUCGGCGGUUGGGGAUGGACUCGCGGCUUAUCAGCUUGUUGGUGGGGUAGUGGCUUACCAAGGCUUUGACGGGUAGCCGGCCUGAGAGGGUGACCGGCCACAUUGGGACUGAGAUACGGCCCAGACUCCUACGGGAGGCAGCAGUGGGGAAUAGUGCACAAUGGGCGGAAGCCUGAUGCAGCAACGCCGCGUGCGGGAUGACGGCCUUCGGGUUGUAAACCGCUUUCGCCUGUGACGAAGCGUGAGUGACGGGAAUGGGUAAAGAAGCACCGGCUAACUACGU
RNAcentral lists this ribosomal RNA (467 nucleotides) under uncultured bacterium. RNAcentral's name for it is "partial 16S ribosomal RNA". It matches the Rfam family "Bacterial small subunit ribosomal RNA", at positions 28 to 506 of the family's 1533-position model. The record is from RNAcentral.